Molecule: ribosomal RNA, 425 nt
Filed under: Staphylococcus aureus
Lineage: Bacteria; Bacillati; Bacillota; Bacilli; Caryophanales; Staphylococcaceae
Description: bacterial SSU rRNA
Rfam family: Bacterial small subunit ribosomal RNA
Source: RNAcentral
UUUUAUGGAGAGUUUGAUCCUGGCUCAGGAUGAACGCUGGCGGCGUGCCUAAUACAUGCAAGUCGAGCGAACGGAUGAGAAGCUUGCUUCUCUGAUGUUAGCGGCGGACGGGUGAGUAACACGUGGAUAACCUACCUAUAAGACUGGGAUAACUUCGGGAAACCGGAGCUAAUACCGGAUAAUAUUUUGAACCGCAUGGUUCAAAAGUGAAAGACGGUCUUGCUGUCACUUAUAGAUGGAUCCGCGCUGCAUUAGCUAGUUGGUAAGGUAACGGCUUACCAAGGCAACGAUGCAUAGCCGACCUGAGAGGGUGAUCGGCCACACUGGAACUGAGACACGGUCCAGACUCCUACGGGAGGCAGCAGUAGGGAAUCUUCCGCAAUGGGCGAAAGCCUGACGGAGCAACGCCGCGUGAGUGAUGAAGG